CGGUACCGAAAGCCACGGACGUGCCAGCAGCCGCGGUAAUACGUAGGUGGCAAGCGUUGUCCGGAAUUGGGCGUAAAGCGCGCGCAGGCGGUCGUCUGAUGUGAAAGCCCACGGCACCGUGGAGGGUUGGAAACUGGGGGACUUGAGUGCAGAAGAGGAAAGUGGAAUUCCAAGUGUAGCGGUGAAAUGCGUAGAGAUUUGGAGGAACACCAGUGGCGAAGGCGACUUUCUGGUCUGUAACUGACGCUGAGGCGCGAAAGCGUGGGGAGCAAACAGGAGAUACCCUGGUAGUCCACGCCGUAAACGAUGAGUGAGUGGGGGGUUUCCGCCCCGUGCUGCAGACGCAAGCACUCCGCCUGGGGAGUACGGUCGCAAGACUGAAACAAGGAAUUGACGGGGGCCCGCACAAGCGGUGGAGCAUGUGGUAUUCGAAGCAACGCGAAGAACCCCAGGUCUUGACAUCCCGUUGACCACUGUAGAGAUAUAGUUUCCCCUUCGGGGGCAACGGUGACAGGUGGUGCAUGGUUGUCGGCUCGUGUCGUGAGAUGUUGGGAGUCCCGCAACGAGCGCAACCCUUGAUCGUUGCCAUGUUGGGCAGGUGACUGCCGGUGACAAACCGGAGGAAGGUGGGGAUGACGAAUGCCCCUGACCUGGGCACACGUGCAAUGGACGAUACAAACGGUUGCCAACUCGCGAGAGGGAGAUCCGAUAAAGUCGUUCGUUCGGAUUGUAGGCUGCAACUCGCCAUGAAGCCGGAAUCGGUAAUCGCGGAGCAUGCCGCGGUGAAUACGUUCCCGGGCCUUGUACACACCGCCCGCACCACGAGAGUUUGUAACACCCGAAGUCGGUGAGG
This 853-nucleotide ribosomal RNA is filed under the name Lysinibacillus macroides. Its description in RNAcentral is "bacterial SSU rRNA". It matches the Rfam family "Bacterial small subunit ribosomal RNA", at positions 479 to 1435 of the family's 1533-position model. The record is from RNAcentral. Lineage: Bacteria; Bacillati; Bacillota; Bacilli; Caryophanales; Bacillaceae.